GUCCGUGUCCGCCGUCCUCAGGGCCAGGGAGACUCUCCAGCACCAAGCAGAUUUCUGUGAGACUUUGAUUUCAGUGAGUUUGCAGAGGUACAUUCAGUGUCUUACUGGGAGUCCUGAAGAUUUUCUUGUCAUCAGGAAAAUAAUUGGCAAGCUACAAAUCAUUUCCUGCUGUGGGGAAGCUGACAGUGGAAAGAAGGGUGAGGAAGCCAACCCUGGCGAGGAGGAAGAUGAAGAGGUGUGGGAGGAUGGAGACAGCGGCCCCCAAAGGCUGGGGAAGGCCCAGCUCCAGCCCUGUGCUUCCCAGAGGUGGUGCUUUAGGAAACCCCUCCAGCCUGGGAAGGGCUUUUUGCUCCAGACACGUUCCCAGUGCCCAGGAGCAGCAGGACCUGUGCUGCUCCCAGCAGGACAGGAAAAACCACUUAACUCAUCCCGUUUUUGCCCAGAGCUUUGGAGUUUGAGCAGCCAAACCCAAUGGGCUCCAGCUGCACUGGAGGGUCCCUGGUCCUGCCCAUGGUGUGGGAUGCUGGAAUUGCCUCUGUGGAUGUGCACUGAGCCCUCGCUGCAGGGAACUGCCAGGCCUUAAUGGUGCCCCACCCAUGUUCCCGGGGGCACUUGCAGAGUUCCCUGGAAUUCCGUGGACUCAGUCGCCUCCGACCAUCAAGACUCUGAGGACUUCUACCCUGGCUCAGGCAAUAUGGAGCAUGCCCACUCUUCAGUUUGAACUGUGUUGUGUACCCCCAUUUUCUUUUUUUUUAAAACAAAAAAGGGGGAGAUGUUGCUGUUCGUUUUGGGUUUGUCCUGUUCUCCCCCCAUUGUCAUGUUGAAGGGUCCUGUCCUGAUUCAGUUAAAUGUCAAUCUCCAAACCCCUCCCCAGUUUCCAUAGUUGCGGUAUGUAUCCUUUUAGUUCUCCAUCCCCGGUUGCCUGCCUGUCACUCGGCACCCCUGCCUCUUUUUCCAGAAACUUCUGGCCAGGGUGUCAGGUGAUUGGCUCAGGGACCAGGGCCCCUCCCUUAGUUAUGUAUGAUUGGUUUUGUCAUUAUGUCAAUCUUCAAUGUAUCCUUCCCUUCUUGCUCCUGAUUUUUUACCACCCUCCCCUCCCACUUUCCUUAUAAAACCAAGGUUUUCCCCUCCUUGGUACUCUCAGCCUCGGGAUUUGUUGGGGGUGUUUGGUCCCUCUGGGGCCUAAUAAACCCAAUUGCACCAAGA
Agelaius phoeniceus (red-winged blackbird) is the source of this 1206-nucleotide non-coding RNA. The record is from RefSeq and is a predicted model, not a curated record. NCBI's taxonomy places the organism in Eukaryota, Metazoa, Chordata, Aves, Passeriformes, Icteridae.